Molecule: ribosomal RNA, 433 nt
Filed under: uncultured bacterium
Lineage: Bacteria
Description: partial 16S ribosomal RNA
Rfam family: Bacterial small subunit ribosomal RNA
Source: RNAcentral
AACGAACGCUGGCGGCAGGCCUAACACAUGCAAGUCGAGCGGACCCUUCGGGGUUAGCGGCGGACGGGUGAGUAACGCGUGGGAAUAUGCCCUUCUCUACGGAAUAGUCCUGGGAAACUGGGGGUAAUACCGUAUACGCCCUUUGGGGGAAAGAUUUAUCGGGGAAGGAUUAGCCCGCGUUGGAUUAGGUAGUUGGUGGGGUAAUGGCCUACCAAGCCGACGAUCCAUAGCUGGUUUGAGAGGAUGAUCAGCCACACUGGGACUGAGACACGGCCCAGACUCCUACGGGAAGCAGCAGUGGGGAAUCUUAGACAAUGGGGGCAACCCUGAUCUAGCCAUGCCGCGUGAGUGAUGAAGGCCUUAGGGUUGUAAAGCUCUUUCAGCUGGGAAGAUAAUGACGGUACCAGCAGAAGAAGCCCCGGCUAACUCCGUG